RNAcentral lists this long non-coding RNA (212 nucleotides) under Homo sapiens (human). Its description in RNAcentral is "HSALNT0395502". The record is from RNAcentral. Lineage: Eukaryota; Metazoa; Chordata; Mammalia; Primates; Hominidae.
CGCUAGAGCCCCCCCAAGGCGGCCAUCUUGAUUAAGGGCAGAGGGCACCGGUAUCCCGCUGGGAGACUUUGGGAAGUGACAAGGGCUUGCCUCUCCUGCCUCAAUCUCCGCAUCUGGAUGAAGGGCUUGGACCAGAACCCCUCCAAGCCCCUUCCCUGGACCACUCUGCUGGAGUUUCACUCUUGUCGCCCAGGCUGGAGUACAGUGGUGCU